GGCCUUAAUGAGAUUCAUUGAUUGUAAAGAAUUCUGUCCAAAACACACAAACAUUUCCUAGUGGUAAACAUAAUAAAAAACAACCAAUGAUUAAAAAUAAGUUUAAAAAAAAAAAAAAAACAAUGAACUCAUGUAAGUAAUUUAUGUUGUGCCUAAAUAAUUUUUCACAAUUAAAUGCUUUUGGUAGGCCUACAAUAUAUAUAUAUAUAUAUAUAUUAAAAACUACAAUGCACUUAUUUACCAACAACAAGAGUUUAACAUUGCUAAAUUUCCCAAAAAGGCUUUUUAAUGUGAUGGAUUUGAUAAAUGGACAGAAGCUAGCUAUUAUGUGCAGUUAGCUUCCAGUAAAAUGGCGUCCAUUUUCUCACCAUUCGAACAAGGCCAAGUGUGUAUCAUCUCUCGCUUUUAUAUCUAUGGUUUGACCUUUUAUAAUUGUGGUAAAUUGGGUAAAGCAACGCUGCAUUAACGGGGUAAUUAAAAUUGCUGGACGGGAGAAAAUUACGGCUGUAAAUUUAUUUAUUUAGGGGUCUAACAGAGUUGAACUGUCACGUGUUCGUUGGAUUAAACCAGUUCCAGGGUCAACCAGCAGGUGUCUCCAAUUUAACCAUCAGCACAAAUGUAGCUUUGCUUUUACUUCCACGACACGUUAGUCACAUCAAUGGCAACUCUACAUCUACACCAGUUUGCUGACAUUAAACUACAUGGAAUGCAAAGCUGCUAACACCUCCUCCAUCCAGGUGAGACUCUGGGCUAGAUGUGGGCUUGAUCCAGCGGUGAUGGGCUGGUUUCCUCACCUUUUGACCCUGUAGAAAUGUUUAGCCCUGACCCAACCAUUGGGAAUGGAAGGAUGAUUCCUAACUCACUGGGCCACCUCAGGCUCAACGCUCAAUCUCCACCAGACUCCUUCAGAACUGAGAUUGACCCCAUGAGACAUCUGAGCACUAUGACCUCAAGGAGGAUUGAGGUCCAGCUGACCCAGGAGGAGGACCAGGCGCUAACUAACCUGCUCAAACUGCACUAUGAGGAGGACUGCUUCUCUCAGGGUGUGGAGCCACAACCUGACUGGACACCCGAUCCUAUUCUGUAUUCCUGUUUUUGUGAAAACCUGGCUGAGGCCUUUCGGGGGUCAGAUGGUGAGUUUGCUAUUCCUGACAUGAUCUUUAGUCCCUUUGACCAAGAUGAGGCCAGCUUACAUUGUGACCCUCUGCUGCACGGGGGCACCAGAAUACAAGAAGCAGCAGAGAUUUUUCUAGCAUUGUUUGGUGCCAACUUCACCAACAAAACCAGUCCCCCUACAGACCAGUCCCCCUGUUCUGUAUCGGAUAAAUACGGUGAAGCAGUCUUAGAUGACACAAGUCAUUUUGGGGAUUUUCUGGAACGGAGGGUUCAGAAGUUGUCAGAGCUGGAAGUGAAUGCUGUUAAAAUGCUCCUCCGCCUUUCUAAUGCUGCGCAAUAA
This 1456-nucleotide long non-coding RNA is filed under the name Gouania willdenowi (blunt-snouted clingfish). RNAcentral's name for it is "lncRNA (ENSGWIG00000013961.1)". The record is from RNAcentral. Lineage: Eukaryota; Metazoa; Chordata; Actinopteri; Blenniiformes; Gobiesocidae.